RNAcentral lists this ribosomal RNA (253 nucleotides) under uncultured bacterium. RNAcentral's name for it is "partial 16S ribosomal RNA". It matches the Rfam family "Bacterial small subunit ribosomal RNA", at positions 524 to 776 of the family's 1533-position model. The record is from RNAcentral.
UACGUAGGGGGCAAGCGUUAUCCGGAUUUACUGGGUGUAAAGGGGGCGCAGACGGCGAUGCAAGCCAGGAGUGAAAGCCCGGGGCCCAACCCCGGGACUGCUCUUGGAACUGCGUGGCUGGAGUGCAGGAGGGGCAGGCGGAAUUCCUGGUGUAGCGGUGAAAUGCGUAGAUAUCAGGAGGAACACCGGUGGCGAAGGCGGCCUGAUGGACUGCAACUGACGUUGAGGCCCGAAAGCGUGGGGAGCAAACAGG